Non-coding RNA from Podarcis lilfordi (Lilford's wall lizard), 1092 nucleotides. The record is from the annotation of a GenBank genome assembly. Lineage: Eukaryota; Metazoa; Chordata; Lepidosauria; Squamata; Lacertidae.
UACCAUUUCUAGUUUUGCGCAGUGGAUUCUGUUAUUGCUCCCUCACACAGACACACACACCAGUAGUCCUUUGCAACUAUCUGCAUGGGAUUUGGAAUCUGGCACACAAUUAACACCUGGCUUGCAGGUAAGCAACACUACAGUGUACCAAUUAUUUGCAAAAGCACUAAAAUCAAUAGGAAAAGCCAGUAUCAGGAAGCACUGACAUUACCUUAGCAGCGUCCUUUUUCCUAAAUGGAAUUGGGGGGGAAUUGCUCAUUUUGACUCUGUUAGAUAAUUGGGUAUGACAAGUAGUAAAUAAUUUAUUUUAAAGUGCCAAAUGGUGUUUUUGAAAUUUUCAAGCAACCUCUACUGCUCUGUGCCUAUCUUAGCGUCCUCAACUUUAGCUACAUUUCUGUGGAGAAGGAUUAGGCUGCCUGGGUACCGAAAAAGAGCCCUGCACCUUUCAUAGUUGUGGAAAAGAGGAAAGUUCAGCAGGUGUAGCUUGUAAUGGGAACUGUAUCUGCUGAAAUCCCCUCUUCUGUCCAGCUAUUAAAGGGGCAGCAGCCAUGUUCUCUUUUGCAUUUGGCUACCCUAAGAUUAAUACUAAGAACAUAUAAAUAGUAAUCCGCCAUUGGCCCAAUCAAACCCAGGACUGUCUAAAACAGAGCAGCAGUCUUUUUUUCAAGCUCUGAUGAAGGGAUAAUUCCCAGUUUUGCUUUCUAUCUUAUAUAUUUUAGCUGGAGAUGCUGGGCAAGUAUUGGGACUGAAGUUUAGGGGGAAAUAUUAAGGUUGCCGUUACAUAUUGUAAACAAUUACUUUUCUGUGGAGAUUAUGACCAUCCUUUCUAUUUCCAGUGUCCAGGCUGGGAGUGACAUUGCUUACUGUAGCCCAAAUGGCACCACCCACAAAUGAGAGACGCAUCAUCUCUGCCUGGGAGACCAGGGUUCAAAUCCCCACUCGGCCAUGAAGCUCACUGGGUGACCUUGCACCAGGCUCUGCCUCUCAGGGUUGUUGUGGGGAUUAAAUGGGGGAAGGGGAGUGCCAUGUCCACUACCUUGAACGCCUUGGAGAAAAAGAUAUGAUAUAAAUGCAAUAAAUGAAUGAAUAAAG